GAUGAACGCUGGCGGCGUGCCUAAUACAUGCAAGUAGAACGCUGAAGGAGGAGCUUGCUCUUCUGGAUGAGUUGCGAACGGGUGAGUAACGCGUAGGUAACCUGCCUGGUAGCGGGGGAUAACUAUUGGAAACGAUAGCUAAUACCGCAUGACAACAGUUAUUGCAUGAUAACUGUUUAAAAGGGGCAACUGCUCCACUACCAGAUGGACCUGCGUUGUAUUAGCUAGUUGGUGAGGUAACGGCUCACCAAGGCGACGAUACAUAGCCGACCUGAGAGGGUGAUCGGCCACACUGGGACUGAGACACGGCCCAGACUCCUACGGGAGGCAGCAGUAGGGAAUCUUCGGCAAGGGACGGAAGUCUGACCGAGCAACGCCGCGUGAGUGAAGAAGGGUUUCGGAUCGUAAAGCUCUGUUGUAAGAGAAGAACGAGUGUGAGAGUGGAAAGUUCACACUGUGACGGUAGCUUACCAGAAAGGGACGGCUAACUACGUG
RNAcentral lists this ribosomal RNA (495 nucleotides) under uncultured bacterium. RNAcentral's name for it is "partial 16S ribosomal RNA". It matches the Rfam family "Bacterial small subunit ribosomal RNA", at positions 28 to 507 of the family's 1533-position model. The record is from RNAcentral.